This 360-nucleotide unclassified non-coding RNA is filed under the name Hevea brasiliensis (rubber tree). Lineage: Eukaryota; Viridiplantae; Streptophyta; Magnoliopsida; Malpighiales; Euphorbiaceae. The record is from RNAcentral.
GCUUCGUUCAAAGCACCUGCAGGUGCAGUAAUUCCAUUUGGAUCAAUGGAAUCCGCACUUGAGAAAAGUGGAUCUAUGGACUCGUUCCUGUCUCUUCUAGAACAGGUUGAGUCUGCCAGUCUUCGAGGCGGCGAACUUGAUGAAUUGUGCUCCAAGCUCCAAGCAUUAGUUUCAGCCCAAAGACCUUCGGAAGAAACCAUUCGAACAUUGGAGAAGAUGUUUUCUGGCAGCACUCGGCUCAUUGUGAGAUCCAGCGCGAAUGUUGAAGACCUAGCAGGUAUGUCAGCUGCAGGAUUGUACGAGUCGAUCCCCAAUGUCAACCUUGCAAAUCCCUCUGGCUUUGGUGAUGCUGUUGGCCGG